CUGGCGGCAUGCCUUACACAUGCAAGUCGAACGGCAGCGCGGGGCAACCUGGCGGCGAGUGGCGAACGGGUGAGUAAUAUAUCGGAACGUACCCUGGAGUGGGGGAUAACGUAGCGAAAGUUACGCUAAUACCGCAUACGAUCUAAGGAUGAAAGUGGGGGAUCGCAAGACCUCAUGCUCCUGGAGCGGCCGAUAUCUGAUUAGCUAGUUGGUAGGGUAAAAGCCUACCAAGGCAUCGAUCAGUAGCUGGUCUGAGAGGACGACCAGCCACACUGGAACUGAGACACGGUCCAGACUCCUACGGGAGGCAGCAGUGGGGAAUUUUGGACAAUGGGCGAAAGCCUGAUCCAGCAAUGCCGCGUGAGUGAAGAAGGCCUUCGGGUUGUAAAGCUCUUUUGUCAGGGAAGAAACGGUGAGGGCUAAUAUCCCUUGCUAAUGACGGUACCUGAAGAAUAAGCACCGGCUAACUACGUGCCAGCAGCCGCGGUAAUACGUAGGGUGCAAGCGUUAAUCGGAAUUACUGGGCGUAAAGCGUGCGCAGGCGGUUUUGUAAGUCUGUCGUGAAAUCCCCGGGCUCAACCUGGGAAUGGCGAUGGAGACUGCAAGGCUAGAGUUUGGCAGAGGGGGGUAGAAUUCCACGUGUAGCAGUGAAAUGCGUAGAUAUGUGGAGGAACACCGAUGGCGAAGGCAGCCCCCUGGGUCAAGACUGACGCUGAGGUGCGAAAGCGUGGGGAGCA
RNAcentral lists this ribosomal RNA (737 nucleotides) under uncultured soil bacterium. RNAcentral describes it as "bacterial SSU rRNA". It matches the Rfam family "Bacterial small subunit ribosomal RNA", at positions 36 to 770 of the family's 1533-position model. The record is from RNAcentral.